CCCUAGCGCUGUUCUCCACUAUUUCCUCCCUUCUCAUCUUGCAGUCCCUGCUUGACCCACUGCGGUUGGCCUCCACCCCCUCUAGUGCCGGGAACUUUCCGGGCUGAGGUCACCAGGGACCUCUUCCUUGCAUAACUCUUUCUUCCCUUGACCUCUCAAUGGCAUGUGACCCUGGCAUCACUUCCUCCUUAAAUGUGCCUCUCUGACUUCCAUGACGUGAACUCUCCUGCUUUUCUGGACAGCCUUCUGGGUCUCUCCAGUUGAGACUCUCUGCUGAUCCAGACCCAAACAAUCGACUGCCUACUGAGCAUCACCACCCCAUGUGUCACAGUCACUGGACAUCGGCAUGUCUAAAGGAGUUCCUCACCAGCUCCGCACCCCCAUCCCUACUCCUGGGUUCUACUGGCUCUCCUACCCGGCAGGUAAACCACCUGAAGCUUCGGACCGGCUGGGUCACCUCGGGAAAGUAACUUAACCUCUCUGAACGCCCCCAAGGUCAGAAAGCUUUGCUUUCGGGGGAGAAAGCGUCCCUUAGGCGCGGGACGCGUGAGACGGGCGAGGAUGCCGGAGGCGGGAAGCGAGAGCGGGAAUGCCCAGCCCUGGCAAGCUGAGAGGGGCGGAGAGAGGACCAGCAGAGAUUGAGCGCCUACUGUGUGCCUUAGCGCUUGACAACAGGACUUUCGUUAGAUCUUCACUACAGCCCUUGCCAGAGGGAGUUAAUGCCCCAUUUAAGAGGGAUAAACUGAGCCUCUGAGAGGUGAAGUCACUCGCCGAAAACUGCACAGCCAGGCUCAGCGUGACACCCCAAAUCAGGGCUCAGUUACGCCAAGAAGAACACGAUGAGCUUGAACCACUGGUUUGCCGAGUCCUGUUCUUGCUCUUUUUGUGUAGACAGACACAUAGUAGGUGCUCAGGAAGAUAUUGGAAGAUGGAAAAUGAGCUUGACAGCUCAGCCCCGGAGUACGCGCCGCGAAUCCAGCCCAGCCCGCGGGGCACCGGGUUUCCCCAGACCUCAGAAGGGAACUUUUGCGAUGGGCGGACAUCUCAGUUCGACACAGGCAUUCGACAAACACGUGGUGGCGGAGCCCCAGCCCUAGCGGAGGACAGACCGGAUUCAAAUCCCAGCUCUGCCGCUAUCAGGCUGUGUGACUUUGGGCAAGUCACGUCAUCUGCCGAACCUCGGUUGUACCGCCUACAAAAUGGGGAUAUUAACAUCCACUUCCAAAGGGUUGUGGGGAGGAUUAAACGAAACAAUGUUUCUAACACACUUACUACACGCACAAGUAUCGUCGCGCGUUCAUCCCGCAACCUUCAGGCGGUGCACCCGUUCGGGAUGAGGACCCGAGACUAAGGCUCCUCGGCCCCAGUUCCCAAGUCGCCCACCCCUGGACGCACGGACCGACGGGCCUUCCAGUCACCCUCGUCCGGCGAAACCCGAAAUUUCGGGCACUUCGGCCGCGGUUGGUCCCGAAAACAAAUAUUCAAAUAUUCCGAAACUGGCGCAUGGCUAGGGCUGACAUUUUUGCGUUUAAUUUUCUUGAAGUUUUAUUCUUGUCUGUAAAGGUAAUUCGUUAGACCCUCCUAAGUGAGACUUCUCGUCUUUGUCUUGUUUAACUUUUCGUAAGAGCGAAGUUCACAAAGC
This is a long non-coding RNA of Equus caballus (horse), 1642 nucleotides long. NCBI's taxonomy places the organism in Eukaryota, Metazoa, Chordata, Mammalia, Perissodactyla, Equidae. The record is from Ensembl.